UAGUAAUCCUGCUCAGAGCAAGAAGAACCACAGAUUUAGACAUUUGGGGUCUGUGCUUGGCUGAGGAGCCAAUGUUUGGAAGCUAUAAUCUACAGGAUUAUGAGUGAACACUGAUAAAUCAGAUUCCCCCAUAAAAA
Molecule: non-coding RNA, 137 nt
Filed under: Lepisosteus oculatus (spotted gar)
Lineage: Eukaryota; Metazoa; Chordata; Actinopteri; Semionotiformes; Lepisosteidae
Description: Eukaryotic large subunit ribosomal RNA
Rfam family: Eukaryotic large subunit ribosomal RNA
Source: Rfam by way of RNAcentral